Molecule: microRNA, 21 nt
Filed under: Panagrellus redivivus
Lineage: Eukaryota; Metazoa; Nematoda; Chromadorea; Rhabditida; Panagrolaimidae
Description: prd-miR-5594-5p
Source: miRBase by way of RNAcentral
AUCAGUUCUUUAGUUCAAAAC